CCUGCCUAAAACAACUAGUAGAGAAGAUUUGAUAUUGAUGAAAAGGGUGUUGUUAGAGGGCAUGACAUUGUAUUUGGUACAAUGUUGAGAUUUCAAACUUCCCCAAUCAACUUUAUUCCAUGCAAUUCGAAGGAGAGGCAGAAGUUGUAUCAUGGGAAGUGGCCAUCGUUAGUAGGACUCAUGCCAAUAGGGAUUUAAGUUGACAAAUAUUCUGUUUGAGUCAAGAAAAGCCUCGCCCAGGUGUUGUUGAAGUGAGUGACUACUGACUAGUAAUGGCUGAUUAAAGUGGAAGACCUCCUCCUCAUUUUAGGCCCAGGAGGAAAACUGAAUGCUGC
Molecule: long non-coding RNA, 335 nt
Filed under: Gossypium barbadense (sea-island cotton)
Lineage: Eukaryota; Viridiplantae; Streptophyta; Magnoliopsida; Malvales; Malvaceae
Description: long non-coding RNA (GBAR_LNC002690)
Source: RNAcentral